Molecule: ribosomal RNA, 468 nt
Filed under: uncultured bacterium
Lineage: Bacteria
Description: partial 16S ribosomal RNA
Rfam family: Bacterial small subunit ribosomal RNA
Source: RNAcentral
GACGAACGCUGGCGGCGUGCUUAACACAUGCAAGUCGAACGGAAAGGCCCUGCUUUUGUGGGGUGCUCGAGUGGCGAACGGGUGAGUAACACGCGAGUAACCUGCCCUUGACUUUGGGAUAACUUCAGGAAACUGGGGCUAAUAUCGGAUAGGAGCUCCUGCUGCAUGGGGGGGGUUGGAAAGUUUCGGCGGUUGGGGAUGGACUCGCGGCUUAUCAGCUUGUUGGUGGAGUAGUGGCUUACCAAGGCUUUGACGGGUAGCCGGCCUGGGAGGGUGGCCGGCCACAUUGGGACUGCGAUACGGCCCAGACUCCUACGGGAGGCAGCAGUGGGGAACAUUGCACAAUGGGCGGACGCCUGAUGCGGCAGCGCCGCGUGCGUGAUGCCGGCCUUCGGGUUGUAAACCGCUUUCGCCUGUGACGAAGCGUGAGUGACGGUACUGAGUAAAGAAGCACCGGCUAACUACGUG